Molecule: small nucleolar RNA, 138 nt
Organism: Ornithorhynchus anatinus (platypus)
Lineage: Eukaryota; Metazoa; Chordata; Mammalia; Monotremata; Ornithorhynchidae
Source: RefSeq, a predicted model, not a curated record
CCCCUUUCGGGGUCACAUCUGGAGAGUUUCCAGCACUCUACCUGUCUCGAUUAAGGGAAGGAGAGUCAAGCAGAGGCAUAUCCAUUCCAUUCCUAGUUUGAGCAGUGGUUAGCGAGUGGAAGGCAUUCUGCUACAGGU